AUUCCAGCUCCAAUAGCGUAUAUUAAAGUUGUUGCAGUUAAAAAGCUCGUAGUUGGGCCUUGGGCCUGGACGGGCGGUCCGCCUCACGGCGUGUACUGUCUUGCCGGGCCUUUCCUCUUGGUGAUCUGUUGUUUCGGCAGCAGGGAACCAGGACCUUUACUUUGAAAAAAUUAGAGUGUUCAAAGCAGGCUCGACGCCGGAAUAUAUUAGCAUGGAAUAAUAAAAUAGGACGUGCGGUUCUAUUUUGUUGGUUUUUGGAAUCGCCGUAAUGAUUAAUAGGGACAGUCGGGGGCAUUAGUACUCACAUGCUAGAGGUGAAAUUCUUGGAUUUUGUGAAGACUAACUUCUGCGAAAGCAUUUGCCAAGGAUGUUUUCAUUA
This 379-nucleotide ribosomal RNA is filed under the name Malassezia sp. Its description in RNAcentral is "partial small subunit ribosomal RNA". It matches the Rfam family "Eukaryotic small subunit ribosomal RNA", at positions 582 to 975 of the family's 1831-position model. The record is from RNAcentral. Lineage: Eukaryota; Fungi; Basidiomycota; Malasseziomycetes; Malasseziales; Malasseziaceae.